UGGGUUUUGAGUGCUGUUGAUAACCGUCUCUGAAGACGUAUGGAUCUCCCGAUGUUGCAGUAAGGUGCGGAGAGGCUUCUGGAGUAGGACUACACACAGUCGUCGACGAUACAGUCUCUGAAAGAUUGCAGUUGACAAAGUCGGGAGAUGCUAAGUUUAGGUGACGUUGCAGUGAGCUGUGGAUAGGCUGUCGGAGUAGUACUACACAUAGAGUUGUUGACGGUACAACCUUUGAGUUUAAAUGAACGUAUGUCUCGCGAAGCUUAAAUGUGGGAGAGAGUGGGCUAAGGGGUAGGAGACCCCAAGACUUAAAACACAUUUGCUUCUGAAAUUAGGUCAAAGCCCAAAACAUCAAGUAAAGCCCAUACCUAACAAGGGAUUAGGGUUUUGGUGGAACCGAAGCAAUGGCCGCCGAUAAUGUAACUCUCGUUGGAAGGAUCUUUGUACAUCAGACCUCCAUGGACAGAGCGGCUUGUUGUGGCUGGUGAAGGGAGACGGUGAGCGAGCGAACAUGAUAGAUCCUAUGAGAGGAAAGUUGCCGGUUUGGACCUUCGACCAUUGAUGAUGGAAUGAGACGCAAUGGAGUGACUAUGAGGAGAGGCCAGGCGAGCGGACGACGGGUUGAGCUACACGACGGGAGGAGAGACAGUCCAACACUCCGUACUGGUGAUGUUGAGUGGAAGCAUGGCGGGGUGGUUCUUUUGAUACCAGCGCCUUACGGAGGGGAGGGACCAUCAGAAAGCUCAUAUAUUCGUAGAGGAGAGUGAGUCAAAUGUCUCGCUGGUGAAGCGUAGAUCCGUAGGACCGCGAUUUAACUUUCUCGAUUUGGGAUGCAUAGUCGAAGGUACGCAGGUUGACGAAGCAAGAACUUGAUGUUGGAGGGUCACGACGGUUGUAGGUGGUGAUAAGCAGGGCUGAGGAUAUGGAGCUUCUCUUCUCAGCAAGAAGCGCUCUCAGCGGAUGAACACCGGAGUGAGUGGAGCAGAGAGCAGAGAUGGCGACAUAGCACACUAUGAAACACAAAACGAAGUUGCAGAGUGAGUUGGAAGAGAACGAAAGAGGAGGCUGAAGGGUCAGCGCUGGCGGCCAGAGGCACCUCCGGCGUCGAGGAGAGUGAGCAUUUGUAUUUUCUCGAUUAUUGUGCAUGGGAGCGUCUCAGCGUGUAAGCGGUUUGUUAUAAGAUGCAGAAAGAUUAUGCCUAUAUAGAGCAUUAUUGAAAGACUAAUAGCUCAUAGAGCUUUAUUGAGUGACUAGUAAACUAAAGGGAGGAAUAAGAUUAACUUGGCUGAACGAACUAAAAGACAGGAUUGUAUUUCAUCCAAAAUGAGCAAAGAAGAGGCUGCAACUGUGCAGCCAAAGUUACAAAGCUAAAGGCAUAACAUCAAUACUUAUAGGACGCUAUUUGUAAGGGGAACCCUAAACACAUGGGCUUAGGACAUUAUAUUGGGCUUGAUGACUUGGCUUUGGGCUUGUCUAUAAUACCAUUAUAGUACCACUUCAAAAAGUUGAAGCAAACUGAAAUAGUUUCAACCAUAACUAUAUAAUGCUUUACAUUAGUUUAUGUGCCUAUGACAGAUGAAACGUCAUUUCAUGGGAAAUCUCCACUGCGCUUGUUUCUCUCCCUCACAAUCAGAUCUGGGAAGCCAAGGGCACACCGCCGGUCACCCCUUUUCCGGUUUGUCUCAGACUCCUGUGAGUUUUCUUAGUGGUGGCUCUGUUUGGAUAGCGUCGGUCUCCUCUGAGGGACGGCGAUGCUGGUUUUGUGCGGUUCGAGCUGUUGGAUUUUGUUCAUGAGUGAUGACGGCUAGGGUUUCCGCUGGCCAGAUCUUUGUUUCCGGGAGUGAUAUCAGGCGUAUCUCACUAAUCUACGACAUCUAACUCAGGUUUGUAGUGGUCUUCACUCACUUCUUCUCGGAUUGAAGGGUCUUGGCUCGGGUUUUUUGACGAAGUUUUAAGAGAUAUUUUGACGGCGCUGGUUGAUGGCAUUGUAAGGGUUGUCGUUUUCAGAUUUCAAUCGGGUCUUUAUCAUUUUGCUAUAUUCGGAUCAGUUCCUUGGAGGUGUUGAUGAGUUAGGCCACUGCGUGCAUCUCUCUAUUUAGAUCUACCAGUUGGUGUGGUAUUAGUUAUUGGUUUAAGGCUCUAGUAGGGAGUAGAGAGAAUGGGUCUCAGUCUUAUCAACUUUGAUCAUCAUUCCUCAUUGGCAGCGUGUUUCAGGUCUCAUGUCAUUGGAGUUUUUGCGGUAGGUUGUUAUUGACCUAUUUGGGCUUUAUGAGAUGCUGGAUGGAAGCAUCUCCUCUUUGUGAAUUCUCAUUGGUGUGGUGAGCGUAGUCAUCAUCCUCUGAAAAAAAUAAGAGCUUUAGUAACUGGCCAAGACAGAGGAGAUCUCUAGGUAGUACGUUUGGUCGGUGGGGAAAAAAUUGAACAAUCGUCUUGAUCUGAAUCAUGUGGUGGAUUUCCUCGGGGGAUUAUGCUCAGACCGGUCUGACUUCUCAUUUUGGGAUUUAUGGUUAAAUGGGUGUAACAGUCCCAGUUAGAUAAGUGAGACGUGGCAAUAUUUUUUUAUUCAUGCCGCCGGUGGGAGUUUCCUACUGGAUAAUUUGAAGCUUCCUGGUUGGGUUCUAUUUUCGGCUUCUUGGGGCUCGUCUGGAGGAAGUUGUAGGAGCCGAGAUAGUAAGAUUUGAGGGUGGUCCGAACAUCGGUAGCUCGCGGCAACUAGUGGUCAGUACUUAUAAGGUUCUGGUUUAUAGGUCUGUCCAUGUUACGCUAUGGUCACGUUGCUUUAAGUUUGCUACCUAGUUGUUUAAUUUUCUAUAGUUUUGUUGUGGUGUUUUUCUUUUUCUGCUUUUGUUACUGUUUAGAUUUUUGUACUUUUUCCGUUACUAGUUAGGCUUUAUCAUUUCUGUCAAAACUGAAAAUGGUAAUAGAUUUUAACA
Molecule: long non-coding RNA, 2933 nt
Organism: Brassica napus (rape)
Lineage: Eukaryota; Viridiplantae; Streptophyta; Magnoliopsida; Brassicales; Brassicaceae
Exons: 2
Source: RefSeq, a predicted model, not a curated record